GAGUGAUCGAAAGAUGAAAAGCACUUUGAAAAGAGAGUCAAACAGCACGUGAAAUUGUUGAAAGGGAAGCGUUGGCCCCCAGACGCGCCCGGGAGGGCUCAGCCGGCACGUGUGCCGGUGUACUCUCUCCCGGGCGGGCCAGCAUCGGUUUGGGCGGUCGCUGAAAGGCCCCGGGAAUGUAGCACCCUCCGGGGUGCCUUAUAGCCCGGGGCGGCAUGCGGCCCGCCGGGACCGAGGCCCGCGCUUCGGCGAGGAUGCUGGCGUAAUGGCGGUCAACGGC
RNAcentral lists this ribosomal RNA (280 nucleotides) under Talaromyces ruber. RNAcentral describes it as "partial 18S ribosomal RNA". It matches the Rfam family "Eukaryotic large subunit ribosomal RNA", at positions 351 to 648 of the family's 3401-position model. Lineage: Eukaryota; Fungi; Ascomycota; Eurotiomycetes; Eurotiales; Trichocomaceae. The record is from RNAcentral.